GUACAAUGAUUUAUCCAAAUUUAAACGGCUCCCGAGGUUUCUCGAUCGAAUCCCCUUCCUUCUCCGCCCCCAGCUGUCUCUCGCCUUCGAUCCCCUGGACACCGUCGACGGCCUUCCCGUCUCCCGGAAAUGACUUCAAGAUUUCAAGCAAUCACUUCUGAUAAAGAAAUCCAGCUGAAACCAGAAAAGAAGGUGGUCAGGUGGCAGCUCGAUGUCGAGGAGGAGACAAGAAAAAAGCCAGCCAUCUUCGACAUCGUUGUUGGAGUGAUGGUGGAGAGUGCCGGCUGGUGAUGAGUAGAGAAGGAGGCUGUGGUAGCAUUGUUGUUGGAGUUGAAGAAGAGGCCUGUGAUCUUUCGUUGUUAGCAGUUAGGGUUUUAUUUCCUUCUGGUGGAUACGUAUUCAUUGAUUUGAUUAUAAUUGUUAUUGUUGUUGUUAUUUAUGUUGAAUCGUCAAACUAUGUAGUCUGUUGAAUCUCAAGACAAAGCAGUUUUGGAGAGCAAUUUGCCCAUUUUGCUUUGAUGUUUGUAAAAAUACUAGUUGAUCAGUGCAUGUAAUGCUUCAAACUUGGAAGGA
Molecule: non-coding RNA, 573 nt
Organism: Elaeis guineensis (African oil palm)
Lineage: Eukaryota; Viridiplantae; Streptophyta; Magnoliopsida; Arecales; Arecaceae
Source: RefSeq, a predicted model, not a curated record